RNAcentral lists this long non-coding RNA (236 nucleotides) under Nicotiana benthamiana. Its description in RNAcentral is "long non-coding RNA (NBEN_LNC037597)". The record is from RNAcentral. Lineage: Eukaryota; Viridiplantae; Streptophyta; Magnoliopsida; Solanales; Solanaceae.
AAGUGGCUAAAGGACUAAAAAUGCACAUAGGUUCAUAAUUGUAAAAACCCAGAUAAUUUAAGCCAAAUAUAACAGUUGAGCGACCGUGCUAGAACUACGAAACUCGGGAAUGCCUAACACCUUCUCCCGGUUAACAGAAUUUCUUACUCGGAUUUCUCGUUUGCGACUGUUAAACAGAAUCAUUCUUUCCUCAAUUCGAGAUUCUAAAAUGGUGACUUAGGACACCAUAAAUUCCC